Molecule: long non-coding RNA, 775 nt
Filed under: Helianthus annuus (common sunflower)
Lineage: Eukaryota; Viridiplantae; Streptophyta; Magnoliopsida; Asterales; Asteraceae
Source: RNAcentral
CCAUCAUCUUCUUCAAAUAACCCCCUGCCGCCGCUCCUCCCCCACCGCAACCACCCACCCCCUUCUUCCUUCAGCCCACAAGAACAGAUCUGAAUCCAAACAAAGCAUAAAGAAGAUUGUACAGUUGAUUCAAAUCACAAACCACCAAUCGAUCCUUACAAAUCAUCUAAGUUUACUCUAGGUUUUAUUAUACAUCUAAAUCCGACUCCUCUUCUGAAAACCCUAAUCCUCAUCAUUCUGAAAACGAAAUCCAUGACCACCAACCUACCGACGUUGACGAUGUCAGCAGUGCAGCUUAAAACACAAAUAGACAAGUUUUACAAGGGUGAUUUUGAAGCAAUACCAACCAUUUUUGAAUCUAUAUUAAAAAGGAAGUAAGCAGGAAAUCAUGAAGAUUCAGAUGAUGAAUUGAUGAAUGAGUUUCGAGAGGGCCAACCAAAUGUAGUUAUUGAUGAAGAGUUUGAUUCCAGUUCCAGUUCAAAUUCUGAUGAAUAGGUAAUGACAUGCCUCAAAUCAAACUGUAUGUAGUGAUGCUAUGCUUGUUAAUGUGCGUGUGAGAGCUCACCAGUUAUUGUUUCGUUGCACACAUUUUUGUGAGGGAAAAUAUUAUGGGUUAUUUCAAGACUCAACAGGUCAGAUAAUACAUUCUUACAUUAGUAUGCAGACAUAAAAAAUUGCUACUUUACAUCGACUGGUUGGCAGCUUUGAUCAAUGAUUUUUUGUCUUUUGAUGAUGAUAAAUUGGUGUUUCUAUUAUAUUGUAGAGUGUUUGUUCA